This is a long non-coding RNA of Etheostoma cragini (Arkansas darter), 147 nucleotides long. RefSeq lists it as uncharacterized. The record is from RefSeq and is a predicted model, not a curated record. NCBI's taxonomy places the organism in Eukaryota, Metazoa, Chordata, Actinopteri, Perciformes, Percidae. The transcript is spliced from 3 exons.
CAUUUAAAAAAAAAAUAAGUCGGCUCCUCUGGCUCCACCUACAGCCUGGAGCGGGAUUUCCAAAAAUCCACCGCUUCCUGUUCAGAUGCACCAAUCACAGCUAGGGGGGGUGUCUCACUGCGUGUCAAUCACUGCUCAUGCACAAGC